AGUAGCUCAGUUGGUAGAGCAUUCGGCUGUUAACCGAAUGGUCACAGGUUCAAGUCCUGUCU
This 62-nucleotide transfer RNA is filed under the name bovine gut metagenome. It matches the Rfam family "tRNA", at positions 6 to 65 of the family's 71-position model. From Rfam's summary of the family: Transfer RNA (tRNA) molecules are approximately 80 nucleotides in length. Their secondary structure includes four short double-helical elements and three loops (D, anti-codon, and T loops). Further hydrogen bonds mediate the characteristic L-shaped molecular structure. tRNAs have two regions of fundamental functional importance: the anti-codon, which is responsible for specific mRNA codon recognition, and the 3' end, to which the tRNAs corresponding amino acid is attached (by aminoacyl-tRNA synthetases). tRNAs cope with the degeneracy of the genetic code in two manners: having more than one tRNA (with a specific anti-codon) for a particular amino acid; and 'wobble' base-pairing, i.e. permitting non-standard base-pairing at the 3rd anti-codon position. The record is from RNAcentral.